CAGUCGCCGCGGUAACACGUAGGUGGCAAGCGUUGUCCGGAUUUAUUGGGCGUAAAGCGAGCGCAGGCGGUCAAUUAAGUCUGAUGUGAAAGCCCCCGGCUCAACCGGGGAGGGUCAUUGGAAACUGGUUGACUUGAGUGCAGAAGAGGAGAGUGGAAUUCCAUGUGUAGCGGUGAAAUGCGUAGAUAUAUGGAGGAACACCAGUGGCGAAGGCGACUCUCUGGUCUGUAACUGACGCUGAGGCUCGAAAGCGUGGGUAGCAAACAGGAUUAGAUACCCCGGUAGUCCCUGUCUCUUAUAC
This 301-nucleotide ribosomal RNA is filed under the name uncultured bacterium. Its description in RNAcentral is "partial 16S ribosomal RNA". It matches the Rfam family "Bacterial small subunit ribosomal RNA", at positions 509 to 807 of the family's 1533-position model. The record is from RNAcentral.